Molecule: ribosomal RNA, 255 nt
Filed under: uncultured bacterium
Lineage: Bacteria
Description: partial small subunit ribosomal RNA
Rfam family: Bacterial small subunit ribosomal RNA
Source: RNAcentral
AGGACGAACGCUGGCGGCGUGCUUAACACAUGCAAGUCGAGCGGAAAGGCCCUUCGGGGUACUCGAGCGGCGAACGGGUGAGUAACACGUGAGUAACCUGCCCCGGACUUUGGGAUAACCCUCGGAAACGGGGGCUAAUACCGAAUACGACCUGACACUGCAUGGUGUUUGGUGGAAAGUUUUUUCGGUCUGGGAUGGGCUCGCGGCCUAUCAGCUUGUUGGUGGGGUGAUGGCCUACCAAGGCGACGACGGGUA